UACGUAGGGUGCGAGCGUUAAUCGGAAUUACUGGGCGUAAGGUGUGCGCAGGCGGCUCUGCAAGUCGAGUGUGAAAUCCCCGAGCUUAACUUGGGAAUUGCGCUCGAAACUAUGGAGCUGGAGUGUGGCAGAGGAAGGUGGAAUUCCACGUGUAGCGGUGAAAUGCGUAGAGAUCCGGAGGAACCCCAGAGGCGAAGGCGGCAGCCUGGUUGGUAUCUGACGCUCGGACACGACAGCAUGGGGAGCGAACGGG
RNAcentral lists this ribosomal RNA (253 nucleotides) under uncultured bacterium. Its description in RNAcentral is "partial 16S ribosomal RNA". It matches the Rfam family "Bacterial small subunit ribosomal RNA", at positions 524 to 776 of the family's 1533-position model. The record is from RNAcentral.